GAUGAACGCUAGCGGUAUGCUUAACACAUGCAAGUCGAGCGGCAGCGCGGGUAGCAAUACCUGCCGGCGACCGGCGCACGGGUGAGUAACGCGUAUGUAACCUCCCCGCAACAGGGGGAUAACCCGGCGAAAGUCGGACUAAUACCGCAUAAAACAGUGCUCCCGCGUGGGGAUAUUUGUGAAAGAUUUAUCGGUUGCGGAUGGGCAUGCGUACCAUUAGGUAGUUGGUGAGUUAACGGCUGACCAAGCCUUCGAUGGUUAGGGGUUCUGAGAGGAAGGUCCCCCGCGCGGGUACUGAGACACGGACCAGAAUCCUACGGGAGGCAGCAGUGAGGAAUAUUGGGCAAUGAGCGAUGGCCUAAACCAGCCAAGUCGAGUGAAGAACGACUGCCCUAUGGGUAGUACACUUCUUUUGCAAGGCAAUAAAGUGAGUUACGUGUAUUUUAUUGACGGUACCUGGUAAAGAAGCACCGGCUAACUCCGUG
Molecule: ribosomal RNA, 485 nt
Filed under: uncultured bacterium
Lineage: Bacteria
Description: partial 16S ribosomal RNA
Rfam family: Bacterial small subunit ribosomal RNA
Source: RNAcentral